UACGGAGGGUGCGAGCGUUAAUCGGAAUUACUGGGCGUAAAGCGCACGUAGACUGUAUGACAAGUCAAGGGUGAAAUGCCACGGCUCAACCGUGGAACUGCCUUUGAAACUGUCAAACUGGAGUAUGUGAGAGGGCGGCGGAAUUCCUGGUGUAGGAGUGAAAUCCGUAGAUAUCAGGAGGAACAUCAGUGGCGAAGGCGGCCUGCUGGACGGCGACUGACGUUGAGGCUCGAAAGCGUGGGGAGCGAACAGG
This 253-nucleotide ribosomal RNA is filed under the name uncultured Desulfovibrionaceae bacterium. Its description in RNAcentral is "partial 16S ribosomal RNA". It matches the Rfam family "Bacterial small subunit ribosomal RNA", at positions 524 to 776 of the family's 1533-position model. The record is from RNAcentral. Lineage: Bacteria; Pseudomonadati; Thermodesulfobacteriota; Desulfovibrionia; Desulfovibrionales; Desulfovibrionaceae.